GGGUUUCCGCCCCUUAGUGCUGCAGCUAACGCAUUAAGCACUCCGCCUGGGGAGUACGACCGCAAGGUKGAAACUCAAAGGAAUUGACGGGGACCCGCACAAGCGGUGGAGCAUGUGGUUUAAUUCGAAGCAACGCGAAGAACCUUACCAAAUCUUGACAUCCUUUGACAACUCUAGAGAUAGAGCCUUCCCCUUCGGGGGACAAAGUGACAGGUGGUGCAUGGUUGUCGUCAGCUCGUGUCGUGAGAUGUUGGGUUAAGUCCCGCAACGAGCGCAACCCUUAAGCUUAGUUGCCAUCAUUAAGUUGGGCACUCUAAGUUGACUGCCGGUGACAAACCGGAGGAAGGUGGGGAUGACGUCAAAUCAUCAUGCCCCUUAUGAUUUGGGCUACACACGUGCUACAAUGGACAAUACAAAGGGCAGCGAAACCGCGAGGUCAAGCAAAUCCCAUAAAGUUGUUCUCAGUUCGGAUUGUAGUCUGCAACUCGACUACAUGAAGCUGGAAUCGCUAGUAAUCGUAGAUCAGCAUGCUACGGUGAAUACGUUCCCGGGUCUUGUACACACCGCCCGUCACACCACGAGAGUUUGUAACACCCGAAGCCGGUGGAGUA
RNAcentral lists this ribosomal RNA (611 nucleotides) under Staphylococcus aureus. RNAcentral's name for it is "bacterial SSU rRNA". The record is from RNAcentral. Lineage: Bacteria; Bacillati; Bacillota; Bacilli; Caryophanales; Staphylococcaceae.